GUUUAUUGAAAAUAUUACAACAUUUCAGAAAGAUUCAAACAGUUCCAUGUGGCGAAUAGUCCAAUCUCCAGGUGACUUGCCUACAGUUGGGAUGAAUUUCCCAAAGUCCAAAAGCUUCAGCAUUUCUCCAGUGUCAAGAUCUAUUUCAGCGAUCUCCUGAUCCAAGGCUGAGACCUCAGGAGCAUGAUUAUCUCUCCUUUCUCUCUUCUCCUCCUGCAUCUUGAUGGAAAUACCUUUUACUGGGCCCCUAUGAAUCGGCUUCUUCAGAUGCAUGACUCAGCCCGCUAUCUUGUUGUAGAGUUUCUUGCUGAGGAUAAUGACAGUCUCCACCCACAUGCUUGUUCAUGUGGAAAUCAUUACCCAGGAUCAUACUGUGCUUUCUUUGAUUCACCUGUAUAUCUAGCAGCUGUGUAAAAGAGCUUCGACUUCCAGGGAGAUGGCCCUGGACACAGGAAAAGAUAUGCUUCGCAUUUUGGCAGUCAGCUGCCUACAUACUUGCAUAAUUGUCUUUGCCUCUACACAGUUCGAAAGAUGCAAAUAAGGUCCCAGUCUUGAGAAUUUAGAUGUAGCUUCAACUUAGGUAUUCACUCACAUGACUGGGCUUCUCCAUAUGGACUUAGCCACAUCUUGAAAACAGCCAUUUCUUCUGGUUUCCACCAAAUGGAACAGGAAAUAGCUGCGUUCUUCUACCUCCACCCCAGUACCUCUACUUUAAUUCAUUCAGGGUACAACUGGGCUCUAGGAGUUUUCAAGCAGAUGGUCUGAUGAACUGAAGCAAUACAAAUAGCAAUCCACACAAGAGUUUACAGUUGGAAAGGACCUUAACUUUCAGAUGAGCUGUAGUUUUGAGAGCUUGAAGAGGUCCAGUUUCCUCAUUUUGUGUAAGAAAGCUGAGGUCCCCCCAAAAAAAAAUCUUUUGUGAACAAACUGAAUGGUGCUUAGCCACUGCUGUAAACCUGUAGCACAGUAGCAGAGUCAUACACAUAUGUACAUAGAGAUAGGAGAGAGAGGGGGGUGAGAAUCCGCAACCAACAGUAAAAUGCACAGAUAAUAAGUACUUUAUUAAUUUGAUGAGCGUUAACAAAUGCAUAUGAACAUUAACCUAUGUUCCUAUCAAGAUAUAGAAGAGUUCUAUUAGCUUAGAAAAGCUGUCUUGUGCCCCUUUGAAGUAAAUCUCCCUCUGCUCUCACCCAGGCAAUCACUGAUCUUAUUUCUAACAACAUGGAUUAGAUUUUUAUGUUCCAGAGCUUGACAUAAAUGGGACAGUAUAGUAUGUACACUUUUACAUAUGACUUCUUUCACUCAGUAUAAUGUUUUUAAGAUUCAUUUAUGUUGUUGACACCAAAAGUCAUUUCUCCUUUGCUGAGUAGUAUGCUACUCUAUAAAUGUACCACACUCUGUUCAUCUAUUGUCUUGAUAAUGAAUAUUUGAGUUGUUUUCAGAUUUGGGCUAUAAACAUUCAUGCACAGGUCUUUCUGUAUAAUAUGUUUUCAUUUCUCUUUGACUUCUACCUACAAGUGGACAUAGAGUAGGUAUAUGUUUAAAUUUAUGAGAAUAUGGCAGAUUGUUUUUCAAAGUGAUUGCACCACUUUACACUCCUGCUAGUUCCAAAACUUGGUCAACGUUUGAUGUCAUAAGUUUUUUUAAUUUUAUCAUACAAAUGGAUGUGUAGUGGUAUUUCAUUGUGGUUUUAAUUUGCAUUUCUCUGAUGACUAAUGAUAUUGAACAAUUUUUCAUGUGCGUAUUAACCAUUCAAAUAUCUGCCUUUGUGAAGUGUCUAUUCAAGUCUUCUGCUCAUUUGUAAAUCCGGUUGCCUGUAUUAUCAAAUUGUAGGCAUUCUUUAUAUAUUCUGGAUAUCAGUCAUUUGUCAAAUAUAUAUAUUACAAAUAUUGUUUCCUUGUCUGUAAAUUCACUAUUCAUUUUCUUAACAAUGAUCUUAAGAGGUUUGAUCUUCUAAUAACCAAAACUGCUCAAUUUGAAAAAGUUCCAUUUGUCAUGGUUUUGUUCUUUAUAGCUACUGCUUUCUGGGUCCAUCUAAGAAAUUAACACUAAUUAAAGAUUGCAAAAAUUUUUCCUAUCUUUUUUCUAAAUAGUGUUUCUCAACCUUUUAUCCAUGUGAUUUUUGAAAAACAAACAGAGCAAAACAGCAACAAAAACCUUGCAUUAAUUUCCUAGGGUUGCCAUAACAAAAUUACAAACUGUUUGGCUUAAAACGACAGAAAUAUAUUCUCUCAUAGUUCUGGAGGCCAGAUCCAAAAUUAAGACGUCAGCAGAGCAGAGCCAUGCUCUCUUUGACAGCUCUAGAGGGGGAUCCUACCGUACCUCUUCAUAGCUUCUGUUGGUUUAUCAGGAAUCCUUGGUGCUCCUUGGAUCAUAGAAGCUUCACUCCAGUUUCUGUGUCCAUCUUCAUGUGGCCUUCUCCCCAUAUGUCUGUGCCUGUGUCAUUUUACUUUUUUUAUAAAGACAUUAGUCGUAUUGAAUUAGGAGCCCACCUUACUCCAAUAUAAUCACAUCUUAACUUACACCUUAAUUAUAUCUGCAAAGAUCCUAUUUCCAAAUAGGGUCACAUUCACAGGUACCAGGAUUAGGACUUCAACACAUUAAAAAAAAAAAUCAACCCAUGUAUUAUUCAAAAAUCAUUCACAAAUAAAUCUUCUCUAGAUGUUUUUUUCCUGAUCACCCUAACAUGAAAUGUAAAUACCACAGAUUGACUGUAUAUCUGUUUAUGUACUAUAGUUCUUUUGAGAGCCACUAACUAUAGUAAUACUAUAGUAUUACUAUAUAAAUACUAUAUAAAUGUAUAUUAUAUAUC
This 2812-nucleotide long non-coding RNA is filed under the name Papio anubis (olive baboon). RNAcentral describes it as "lncRNA (ENSPANG00000044473.1)". The record is from RNAcentral. Lineage: Eukaryota; Metazoa; Chordata; Mammalia; Primates; Cercopithecidae.